ACCAUAUUUGUAUGCUGCUUACAAAUCUAUAGUCCUUCACUAAGCAUUACAAGUAGUUUCCUUUGGCGUUGACGACAUCUCGAGUCUAAACAGGGAAGGUCAUCACGUAGCUGAGUCGAGCGAUGCAUAUCUUAGGAUCGCAGACUAAUCGCAGUUUAUUUAAUGUAAAUCUAAUAGGGAUGUAUAGAGGAGACCGCGGAUGGUUGUUAACACUUGCAAUUACUCCAACUGGGAGCGAGGUAGAAUCAUAUGAUUCACUGUUCACAUGCUCAGUUUAGUAAGGAAGCCUCAUGUGAAAAACAUUCCUGGAUAAUGGAAAAGAAAGACAGACCUCUCCACACUUUGGUCAAAGCGUCAAAAGCAGAGCGGGGGGAAGGAAGCCAAUCAGUUGAUCUACACCCCUUCUCAAAAGCAGGGCCCAAGAAAAUUGCAACAAGGGGUAGGAAAAGGAGAAAAACUGUGAUUUUUGACGGAUACACCCGUCAAGCAGGCACUGGAAGAAGAGCAUAAAAGGUCAAGUGCUCAGAAGGCGCUUGCCUAAAAAAACUGCUGGAAUGAAGCAAGCCAAGACAAACCACACUGAAACACAAAAACUGUCCUGCCUAAGAAACAAGUCAAAACAAAGCAGAUUGAACCAGAAGAUUCAGAUUCUUUCAAUGUAGAACACGUCUGCAUUGUGUGCACUGAGUCCAAGGUCUGGGUGUUGCUGGGAAAUCAAAUUACAAGCCCACCUAGCCUGUACCCCAGGACAGCCAUACAUACCACUGUCACAACUGUGACUCUUGAUUUAGUUAACAUGUCCAACAUUGUCACACACAGCCACGCACGCAAACACACACGUUCAGGUGUUUAGUUUCGUCUUUGUUUGGUUGAGAACCAUUUAGGAGAGUGAAAUAAUACAUGUAUUAUUUCUGCCAAACAAAAGGUAAACUUGGCAACGUUGCUCUCCUGGCCUCAAAAGCAUUCAAUAAUUAGUUGCAUGUCAUAUGCACUUUUUAAUUCUGUUACAAU
Oncorhynchus masou masou (cherry salmon) is the source of this 1011-nucleotide long non-coding RNA. RefSeq lists it as uncharacterized. The record is from RefSeq and is a predicted model, not a curated record. NCBI's taxonomy places the organism in Eukaryota, Metazoa, Chordata, Actinopteri, Salmoniformes, Salmonidae. The transcript has 3 exons.